UACGUAGGGUGCAAGCGUUGUCCGGAAUUAUUGGGCGUAAAGAGCUCGUAGGCGGUCUGUUGCGUCGGCUGUGAAAACCCGCGGCUCAACCUCGGGCCUGCAGCCGAUACGGGCAGACUAGGGUUCGGCAGGGGAGACUGGAAUUCCUGGUGUAGCGGUGAAAUGCGCAGAUAUCAGGAGGAACACCGGUGGCGAAGGCGGGUCUCUGGGCCGAUACUGACGCUGAGGAGCGAAAGCGUGGGGAGCGAACAGG
RNAcentral lists this ribosomal RNA (253 nucleotides) under uncultured bacterium. RNAcentral describes it as "partial 16S ribosomal RNA". It matches the Rfam family "Bacterial small subunit ribosomal RNA", at positions 524 to 776 of the family's 1533-position model. The record is from RNAcentral.